UAUGAAUGUGUUAUAUAUAUAUAUAUUGUAUUUAAUAAUUUUUUACUUAUUUUUAUUGUGUUGAAUCUUUGUGCUAUUACAUUUGAAUAUUGCACCUUCAACAUUUUAAUAUACACGUGGCUAAUUAUUUUUUUGCAGCAACUCUCCUCAUAUAGGUGAUGAUAAACAAUAAAGAAAAUGCUCCAGUAUUCUCUAAAUUAAUUAUAUUCUCCAGGUAGUAUAACAUAAACUUUUAGUUAUAACAUUACAACAGUAAUAUAUUUUUUGUACCUUAAUUAAUAGUAUUCAUACUUUGCUGUGUAGAUUUAUUAAGAUAUUAUAGUCAGGUACACCGUAUAUGUGGCUUGGAGAAGUUAACUAAACAGUAAAUUCAUAGGAUUAAGAUAACACAACUACUCAACUUUGAAGAUAUAAAAAUUUAGUAAGGUUAUGAUUAAAUGUGAAUGAAACUAUCUAAUUAAGCAAUGACAGGACUUGGAGAUGAUUAGAAAAUAUUUUACAUAGGUAACUUAAAAGGUAAUCUAAGUUCAACAGAAAUUAAAAUCUGAGCACUUGCAACAAAGGUAGACCGCUUAAACAGGUAUUGUUGUCUUGUUUAUGAAGGUGUUAGAGCGAGUCCAACAAUGUCCUAAAUUGAUGUCCCAAGUUAAAAUAUAAGGCAAUUGGAUGAAAUGUGAGCUCCAACAAUGUUCUAGUGGUGCCUUAAACCACUAGGACAUCCAACAAGUGCCUCAUUUUUGGGGCACUUCUAAGCAUGUCCUAAACUAAUUUUCUCAUUAAAAUAUUAACUACCCACCAUCUCAAUGCACCUCUCUCCUCUUACUUUUUCACUUCCCUCCAAUUCUAAUUCAAAUAAAUUAUUAGUUUAAUAAUAAGGGCACACAUAUAAGGCAUGUUUGUUGGAGUUCAUGUAUCAAAAAGAUAUUAAUUAACUUCAGCCUACCUUAUUUCUGGGUUGCAUCAAUGCAUAUACACCUGACCUUGUUGCCGUUUUUUGACUUCCACAAGCUUAGACUAUUAAUAUUAUCCUGCUUCAUUCUUAUCUAGCUGUAUAUAUAUAUUAUGGUUUAACUUUCCCAUGCACGUACAUCUGUUAUUUUAAUCCUGCUAGCUGUAUUUGACUAGAUUGCUGCUUGCUUCCAUUUAUAUCCCAGAAGACCUGGAAUCUAUUGUGCUGCAUUUACCUCUGCUGCAUGCUUACUAUUCAAACCAAUUUGUUAUAAUUAAUAUAUUGCUAGCUGGAGAGUUUGAAAUUCUAACAAUAUUUUUCUGUACAGGAGGUAAUGUGGAUAUGAAAGUGAAAUCCAGUGCAGAGAACAACUUUGUAACAACUGUUGCUGAAAUACCCAAAAAAGGUGAUUUUCAGCCUACUAUACCUAGCAAGGAACCUGGGAAACAUGUGUAUAAGAGAAGUAAAGUUCAUCAGCAGAGUGGUGUGCAAGUCAAAACUCUUGACAGUGAAUGACACUAUCAAGGUAUGUGCUGGAACUUAUUUCAUAUUAGAUACAUGCAAGUAAUUAUUUAGCUGAAGACCAUUCUUUGCAUGUGAUUUUUUAUGCGCUUUUUAAUUGCUGGAAGAUGUUGAGGAAAAAUAUAUCUGUAACUACUAUAAUAGUCUAUAUUUGGUCCAGUUUAUUUUGUGGCAGUUAGAUUAACCAUUAUCAAUAAUUCAUUUCAUGAUUUUCAGCUUUUCUAUUUUUAUUUUACGGCUAUGAAAAUUCUACUACUGCUAUUGUAUUGGUAACAGAAAGUUUUGUUAUUUUUUGAAGUAGUUCUGUCUGUAAACAGACAAGAUGAUUCCGAAACUCCUCCAUUUAAUCAAGAGAAUGCAAUGGAGUCCGCUCCACUUCAGAAAAAGGAUGGUCCGGGUAAGCUCAUUGUUUGAACUAUAAUUGUGAUAUUAUGAUCUGGAAUCUUGUUAUGUUAUCCAUGAAAUUUACCUGUUAAAAAUCUCAAUCAACAUGCUGCAUCAAUUGAUAUAGGUGGUGGAGUUGGAACCCCUGCCAUUGUAGGCAUUGAUGCUAUGGAGAACGAACAGAGUUUGCCAUUUGUUAAGAAUCACCUACUUUGUGAAGAUAUCCAUUCUAUGGAAACCUAUAAGUAAAAUGACACAGAAGCCACACUUCGCCCCACUGUACGNNNNNNNNNNNNNNNNNNNNNNNNNNNNNNNNNNNNNNNNNNNNNNNNNNNNNNNNNNNNNNNNNNNNNNNNNNNNNNNNNNNNNNNNNNNNNNNNNNNNNNNNNNNUUUUUUUUUUUUUUUUUUUUUUUCUGGUUUUCAAACUCAGUACUAUAUAUUGAACACAAGCAAAAUGAUGUGGGUAACAUUAAUGAGUGGUGAUGGAUGUAGAUGGUAUUUUUGAAUGAGUGGUUAUUAGGAUUAGAUCUCAUAUCUCAUGUUACUAUUGCUUUUCAUUGGAGAAGUCUCUCAAACUUUCUCUCUCUCUCUUUCUAUAUAUAUAGGCCACACAUAAAAUAAGAUGGUUUGUAGUGGAAGAAGACUGUAUAUAUAUAUACAUACAUAUAUAUAUAUAUAUAUAUGGGUAUAUGAGUAAAGUUCAAUGGAGACCAUUUUAUUGGAGACGGUGGAGACCACUUAUUAUGUUCUGCAAUCAAAACACUAUAAAAUACAUUAUUUUGUGAAGUAUGUUUAACAAAUAUCAUGUAUUCAUUAAAAUUGUUGAAGAUCAUCUAUGUUUCAUAAGUAUAUAAUGUAUGUUCUGCAAACUAAAUAUAUUUCGUAGAAUAUAACAUUUUGUAAUGUUUUACAUGCGAAACUUAUAUGAUAUUCAAGAUUUUAAAGUGAAAUAAUGAUUUUGUACAACAUGAUGUGCAAAACUAUACGUUUUGCAAUGUUUUUAUGCAAUAUUUCACUGGUAGAACAUAAGUGGUCUCCACGGUUUCCAAUAAAAUGGUCUACAUAGAACUUUACUCUGGGGAUAGAUAUAUGGAUGGAUUGAUGGAUUGCCCAAGUACAAACCAAUAUUAAAGUGAAAAUUACAUAUAUAAUGAUCCCCAGAAGUCACCAUCAUGUCUUAAGAAAUCACACAUAAUCCCCCGUGUUUCAAAUUUGAUCUUUCCCUCAAUCAGUGAUUUCUUAUUUUUGAAAUAUGACUUUAUUCUAUUUUUUUCUUCUCCCAACAUUUAAUGUGCAUACCAUAUGUGAUAUAUUUGGAUAUGAUGUAGAAUUUAUUUUUUAUUUAACUUUUAGUUUUUAAUUUUAUGAAGGUUCAUAGUUAAGUAUUACAAACACACACACACAUAUAUACUUUAAUUUAAUUAGUAAUAGACUUUUUUUAUGUAAUGAACAUUAUGUAUUAGUAAUUAUUGAGAAACUUGUUAUUAUAUUUAAUAAGAACUUAAUUUUUAAAAUUAAAUUUUUCUUAAAUUGAAUAUAUUAUAAUUUAAAUGAUAAACUUUCUACAAUAUAAUUUAUUUGUAUCUCAAAAAUAGUAACAUAAUAUUAGUAACCACAACUAACUUAACCUAUAAGGUUAUCUUUAAUUUUUAAAAAAUUAAUUAUUCAUCAUGAACAAAUUUUUUUAUUUUUCUCUAUUUAAUCAAAAUUAAUCUAGAAGUGUUUGUAUACUUUGACACUUAUAUAAAAUAGGUGGUUUAUAAAGCAAAAAAAUUGCUAGUUGUUUGCUUCAACACUUAAUUAAUCUAAUUGGACAUUAUUAAGGGUUUUAUUCCAAAAAGAUAUAACUAAGAACAAACUUUUUUGCCACUAGGCCCAACCCAUCAUGUGAGGAACUUAUAUUAGUAUCUGGUUUGUGCAUAGUAAAACCCUAAUCUAAGUAGCAGCCCGCCUCCCCACAUCCCUUCUCAUCAUCUUGGUUCCAUCUCACCCUAAUCAAGGUAUCACUGAGUCCUCUCCCGAUCUCUUUGUUGAACCCUCUCUGGAUCUCUUCUGAUCUCAUUGGUUACUCCAGAUCUCUUUGGUGAGCCCUAUGUGGAUGUGGAUCUCUUCUGAUCUCAUGGGUGGUGGUAAACAUGUCUGUUAGUGGUUUUUCAUUUCAGUAGCUAGAUUUGACCUUUGGUGUAUCUUUUGCUUAAUGAUUGUAUAUUUAGGCUAAACAUAUAUGAUGAAUUUGUUGUGAUCUCUAUUCCUCAUAUAUUUCAUAUAAGACCUUCAUUUAAUUGAAUUUUAAUUUUAAUAUAUUAUAUUCAUAAAUUGAUGAAUUUAUUAUGAAAUAUUUGUUAGACUUUUAUUUAAAUGAAAAAAAUACUAAAAGAAUAUGAAUAAUGAUUCUUUGCAUCAUUAUACACUAUCCAAAACUGCAAUAGUAGUGAAAACUUUUUAUUUUUAUGUCCACUAUGCAAGCAAAAUAGAUCACAUAAGUGAAUAAGGAGUCUAUGAAUGUGUUAUAUAUAUAGUGUAUUUAAUAAUUUUUCACUUAUUUUUAUUGUGUUGAAUUUUUGUGCUAUUACAUUUGAAUAUUGCACCUUCAACAUUUUAAUAUACACGUGGCUAAUUAUUUUUUUGCAGCAACUCUCCUCAUAUAGGUGAUGAUAAACAAUGAAGAAAAUGCUCCAGUAUUCUCUAAAUUAAUUAUAUUCUCCAGGUAGUAUAACAUAAACUUUUUGUUAUAACAUUACAACAGUAAUAUAUUUUUUGUACCUUAAUUAAUAGUAUUCAUACUUUGUUGUGUAGAUUUAUUAAGAUAUUAUAGUUAGGUACACCGUACAUGUGGCUUGGAGAAGUUAACUAAACAGUAAAUUCAUAGGAUUAAGAUAACACAACUACUCAACUUUGAAGAUAUAAAAAUUUAGUAAGUUUAUAAUUAAAUUUGAAUGAAACUAUCUAAUUAAGCAAUUACAGGACUUGGAGAUGAUUAGAAAAUAUUUUACAUAGGUAAUUUAAAAGGUAAUCUAAGUUCAACCCAAAUUAAAAUCUGAGCACUUGCAACAAAGCUAGACGGCUUAAACAGGUAUUGUUGUCUUGUUUUUGAAGGUGUUACGGAAUGAGACUAUCCUGAUAGAUCGGGAUUUGAAGCCUGAAUCCAGAGAAAUUUUAUCAAAAGAAAAUGCUCCUAAUUGCAUUUUAAGAUUCGAGCUCACUUACCGAGAAUCUUCUCUUAAACAUUCACUUCUUUCCUGAACUAGGUUUUGAGGUUUAAACCAUGUUAAGACAUAAUAUAAGAGGUGCAAAUUAUGUUUCUUCUUUCCACCUUUUCAGUGAUCUUCUUUAGCGGAAAAAUAUUGUUCUUAGUAUGUCAUAUAAUUAAAAAGGAAUUUUUAACGCAGUGACUUACUUUUUAUUAGAAAUUGUUCUUUAGUUUUGUCUUCUAGGUACAUUUAAGUUUUAACCCCAGGUUGAACUUGGUAGUAACGUGUUAUAAUGUACUACCCUUUGGUAGAAGAUGAUGUCUUUAUUUCUUAUCGUAUAGAUAGUUGUGCUUUCUGUUUAACUCUAAGACUUUUAUUUAAAUGAAAAAAAUACUAAAAGAAUAUGAAUAAUGAUUCUUUGCAUCAUUAUACACUAUCCAAAACUGCAAUAGUAGUGAAAACUUUUUAUUUUUAUGUCCACUAUGCAAGCAAAAUAGAUCACAUAAGUGAAUAAGGAGUCUAUGAAUGUGUUAUAUAUAUAGUGUAUUUAAUAAUUUUUCACUUAUUUUUAUUGUGUUGAAUUUUUGUGCUAUUACAUUUGAAUAUUGCACCUUCAACAUUUUAAUAUACACGUGGCUAAUUAUUUUUUUGCAGCAACUCUCCUCAUAUAGGUGAUGAUAAACAAUGAAGAAAAUGCUCCAGUAUUCUCUAAAUUAAUUAUAUUCUCCAGGUAGUAUAACAUAAACUUUUUGUUAUAACAUUACAACAGUAAUAUAUUUUUUGUACCUUAAUUAAUAGUAUUCAUACUUUGUUGUGUAGAUUUAUUAAGAUAUUAUAGUUAGGUACACCGUACAUGUGGCUUGGAGAAGUUAACUAAACAGUAAAUUCAUAGGAUUAAGAUAACACAACUACUCAACUUUGAAGAUAUAAAAAUUUAGUAAGUUUAUAAUUAAAUUUGAAUGAAACUAUCUAAUUAAGCAAUUACAGGACUUGGAGAUGAUUAGAAAAUAUUUUACAUAGGUAAUUUAAAAGGUAAUCUAAGUUCAACCCAAAUUAAAAUCUGAGCACUUGCAACAAAGCUAGACGGCUUAAACAGGUAUUGUUGUCUUGUUUUUGAAGGUGUUACGGAAUGAGACUAUCCUGAUAGAUCGGGAUUUGAAGCCUGAAUCCAGAGAAAUUUUAUCAAAAGAAAAUGCUCCUAAUUGCAUUUUAAGAUUCGAGCUCACUUACCGAGAAUCUUCUCUUAAACAUUCACUUCUUUCCUGAACUAGGUUUUGAGGUUUAAACCAUGUUAAGACAUAAUAUAAGAGGUGCAAAUUAUGUUUCUUCUUUCCACCUUUUCAGUGAUCUUCUUUAGCGGAAAAAUAUUGUUCUUAGUAUGUCAUAUAAUUAAAAAGGAAUUUUUAACGCAGUGACUUACUUUUUAUUAGAAAUUGUUCUUUAGUUUUGUCUUCUAGGUACAUUUAAGUUUUAACCCCAGGUUGAACUUGGUAGUAACGUGUUAUAAUGUACUACCCUUUGGUAGAAGAUGAUGUCUUUAUUUCUUAUCGUAUAGAUAGUUGUGCUUUCUGUUUAACUCUAGACUGUAUGUAAAAUUUACUUUUGGGGUCAUGUCUAGUUUAUGUGUACUCGUACGAUACAUUUUUUGGGUAGAUUGCAAAACCCUGAAGCACAAACCAAUUAUAAGCAUCACUGUUAUAGUAGCAACUGAAGGAUACAACUAAUAUUGUUAGAAGGAAAAGGGGAAGACCAAAGUAAGAAGUCCAAGAAACAGAUAGGUAGGGCUGUUCACGAACCGAGCCGAGCCGAGUUUUGACCGAGUCGAGCCGAGCUUUAAAUUUUUUCUUAUCGAACCGAGCCGAGUCGAGCUUUCUUAUCGAACAAAAAAGUGUGUUCGAGCUCGAGCUCGAUAACUAACGAGCCGAACACGAGCUUGUUCACGAACAAAUACGAGCCGAGUCGAGUCGAGUCGAGCCGAGCCGAGCUAGAGAAAAAUAAGGCCAAACCGCUACUUUACUCUUAAAAUAGCAAGCCAAAUAAAAUUUUUAGUAUGUUUUGAUGGUACCAUAUUAUAGUUGAUAUUCUCAUGAUCGAUUUGAUAUAUUAUAUGUUGAAUUCGGCGUUCAAUAACAUAUAUAUAUUACGAAAUUAUUAUGAAAAUAUUCUUUUUUUUCGAGCUUUAACGAGCCGAGCUCGAGCCGAACGAGUUCGAGCCGAGCUCGAGCCGAACAUACUAAAAGCUCGGCUCGAGCUCGUUUUCUUAACGAACAAUUUUUUGUGUUCGAGCUCGAGCUCGUUAACUUAACGAGCCGAGCCGAACGAGCUCUUAACGAGCCGAGCUCGAGCUUGUUCGCGAACAACUCGGUUCGUUAAACAGCUCUACAGAUAGGUUCGGUGAAAGAUAUUCUACCAGCACACACACAUAUAGAAUUAAAGAUAUUUUAGACGAAAUAUUUGUUGGAAACUAAUAUGUGUUUACUGUAUGGUGGGAAAUAUAAAACAGAAAUCUAAACACAAGCACACUAUUAUAUAUAUAUGAAAUAAGGUUAUGGCUUAAUUUUGCCUUACACAGAGUACUUAGGCUACAGCCUUUCUUGUUUCACAAACACAGAGCUUCUUCUUAGGCUACAGCCUUUCUUGUUUCACAAACACAGAGCUUCUGCUCUCUUUUUCUAUCUUGUUACAACAAGCUACUUGCGUCUAUUUAACGUACAUGCAUGAGGUUGUAUUUAUAGGAUACAAUACACACAGCUGACCUAAUUCCUUACAUCAACAUAAUAAACACCCUGCAGAUCCAAGAAAGAUAUUAACUUCAGCCUACCUUAUUUCUGGGUUGCAUCAAUGCAUAUACACCUGACCUUGUUGCCGUUUUUUGACUUCCACAAGCUUAGACUAUUAAUAUUAUCCUGCUUCAUUCUUAUCUAGCUGUAUAUAUAUAUUAUGGUUUAACUUUCCCAUGCAUGUACAUCUGUUAUUUUAAUCCUGCUAGCUGUAUUUGACUAGAUUGCUGCUUGCUUCCAUUUAUAUCCCAGAAGACCUGGAAUCUAUUGUGCUGCAUUUACCUCUGCUGCAUGCUUACUAUUCAAACCAAUUUGUUAUAAUUAAUGUAUUGCUAGCUGGAGAGUUUGAAAUUCUAACAAUAUUUUUCUGUACGUAGGUAAGAGAAGCACAGGAGGUAAUGUGGAUAUGAAAGUGAAAUCCAGUGCAGAGAACAACUUUGUAACAACUGUUGUUGAAAUACCCAAAAAAGGUGAUUUUCAGCCUACUAUACCUAGCAAGGAACCUGGGAAACAUGUGUAUAAGAGAAGUAAAGUUCAUCAGCAGAAUGGUGUGCAAGUCAAAAUUCUUGACAGUGAAUGACACUAUCAAGGUAUGUGCUGGAACUUAUUUCAUAUUAGAUACAUGCAAGUAAUUAUUUAGCUGAAGACCAUUCUUUGCAUGUGAUUUUUUAUGCGCUUUUUAAUUGCUGGAAGAUGUUGAGGAAAAAUAUAUCUGUAACUACUAUAAUAGUCUAUUUGGUCCAGUUUAUUUUGUGGCAGUUAGAUUAACCAUUAUCAAUAAUUCAUUUCAUGAUUUUCAGCUUUUCUAUUUGUAUUUUACGGCUAUGAAAAUUCUACUACUGCUAUUGUAUUGGUAACAGAAAGUUUUGUUAUUUUUUGAAGUAGUUCUGUCUGUAAACAGACAAGAUGAUCCCGAAACUCCUCCAUUUAAUCAAGAGAAUGCAAUGGAGUCCGCUCCACUUCAGAAAAAGGAUGGUCCGGGUAAGCUCAUUGACUGAACUAUAAUUGUGAUAUUAUGAUCUGGAAUCUUGUUAUGUUAUCCAUGAAAUUUACCUGUUAAAAAUCUCAAUCAACAUGCUGCAUCAAUUGAUAUAGGUGGUGGAGUUGGAACCCCUGCCAUUGUAGGCAUUGAUGCUAUGGAGAACGAACAGAGUUUGCCAUUUGUUAAGAAUCCUCUACUUUGGGAAGAUAUCCAUUCUAUGGAAACCUAUAAGAAAAUGACACAGAAGCCACACUUCGCUCCACUGUACGAACAUAUAGAAGAAGAACGUGAAGGCUUGGCAGUAGUGUUGGAAACGUGAUGGGUUUAGGCUUUAUCAACUUUGUAAAUUCAAAAUACACACGCCUGUAUAAUAAAACAAACAACAGAAAUUUUAUUUCAUAAACUCAAAGCUACAGCUUGAUUAGAACUUCGGCUCUUUAAUUUGUUUUCUUUUUCUGGUUUUCAAACUCAGUACUAUAUAUUGAACACAAGCCACAAGCAGAACCUCUAUUUAUAGGCCACACAUACAUGCUAACUUAUCUCAUUCCUUACAUCAUUACCCAGCUGUAUAAAUUAAUGUAGCCACCUUAAUUCACGGGGACAGCAACUCUUCUUCAUUCCAUCUACGCGGUUUUAUUAAUACAAAUCUGACUUGCAUGUUGACAACCCACAAAUUAAACAAGCUGCUGCAUCACCAUCUUAUCACCUGCUUCUAACCUUUCCAGAUUAUUGCUUUCCCCGUAUAUUCUUUUACACACACGUCUUUGACUUUCUCCUUGCAUGCAUGCAGAUAAUAUAGCAUUUAUACAGCCCACCAUAUUUUCAGGAUGUUGUAGCUGUUUCAUUUACUUUCUUGAGAGAGUUUAAUUUCUAACACUCCCCCUCAAACUCGACUUUCCAUCCCGAGCUUCUUUUUCACUUUAUGAAAUACAUCCGGCUUCAAUGGCUUCGUAAAAAUAUUUGCUAAAUUUUCUUCCGUCAUGCAGUGCACUAACUCCAUAAUUUUUUCGUUCACUUGUUCACGAAGAAAAUGAUAUUUAAUAUUGAUGUGCUUGCUUCGACUGUGUGACACCAGAUUUUUCGAUAGUACAGUGAAAUAGCAGAUUUAUUAUCCACGUAAAUUGUAACAGGUUCUUCCUUGACAAGAUUUAACUCGCCCAAAAUAUAGCCUAGCCACAUAGCUUGGCACGCGCAUGCUGCUGCUGCGAUGUAUUCCGCCUCACAUGUUGAGAGAGCGACUGUCAGUUGCUUCUUUGAUGACCAUGAGAUCGCCGAGCCAAUAUGAAAAGCAUAUUUUGAUGUGCUUUUUUCGUCAUCCAAGUCUCCACCAUAAUCACUGUUUGAGUAGCCAACUAAUUUUGAAUCUUGAGAUUGCGUGUAAAACAAACCAUUAUUAAGUGUACCUUUAAUAUAUCUCAAAAUUCUUUUAGCCGCCAUGAAAUGAUCUUGCUUCGGCUUCUCUUUGUACCUACUAACCAGUCCAACCGCAUACAUGAUAUCUGGACGAGUAAAAGUUAGGUAUCUCAAACUUCCAACCAAACUUUUGAACAAUGUCGGAUUUACCGACUCCCUGGUUGAAUCAAUUCUGAGCUUUAUGCUUGCUUCUGCUGGCGUGCUCUCUGGCUUGCAUUCUUCCAUUCUGAAUUUCUUUAAAAUCUGCUCCGCAUAUUUUUUCUGAGACAUAAAAAUUCCAUCUUUGCUUUGCUUCACCUCGACUCCAAAAAAGUAUGACAUUUGUCCAAUAUCUGUCAUCUCAAAUUCGCUAGUCAUAACUUUCUUAAAAUCAUCAAACAUACCAGGGUUGUUUCCGAUAAAUAUCAUGUCGUCCACAUAUAAGCAAACGAUCAUAAUAUCUCCCCCUGAAAUAGUUUUCGUGUAGAGAGCAUGCUCGUAUGGACUCUUCACAAAACCAUUCUUCUGAAAAUACUCAUCAACCCUUGUGUUCUAUGCUCUCGGUGCCUGUUUUAGGCCGUACAAUGCCUUCUUUAGCCGGUAGACUUUAUCUUCCGCGCCUUUCUGAACAUACCCUAGAGGUUGCUCGAUGUAAACUUCUUCUUUGAGAUAACCAUUUAAAAAUGUAGUGAAUCCAUUUGAAAAAUCUUCCAUUCAUUUUGAGCGGCAAUUGUUGUAAGAAGUCUGAUGGUGUCAACUCGUGCAACUGGAGCAAACACCGCAUAAUAGUAAAUGCCAUAUUGCUGCUUGUAGCCUUUAGCCACUAGCCUCGCCUUGUAUUUUUCUACUUCUCCAACCUGAUUCGUCUUGGUCUUGUAGACCCAUUUGACACCAAUUGCUUUGUGUCCUUCUGGAAGAUCUGUGAGCUCCCAAGUAUCAUUCUUCUUGAUUGCACCAAAUUCUUCGUCCAUGGCUUUGUUCCAUAUGCUUUCUUCAGAAGCUUCCUCAAAUGUAACUGGAUCACAUUCAGCCAUCAGACAAAAUAAGGAAUAAUCAAAGGUUGUUCGUACCGGACUCGUUGCUUCAUAGAUAUUAUCCAGACUCCGCAUUUUUCUUGGUGCUCCCCCUGAACUUCUGCUUCCACUUGAAUCCGAUGGUGUUGAUGCGGGAGUUUGUUGACUCGGACUUUGUGGAGGAGUUUGAUCAUCAUCAUCGUCACCUUCUAUGUUGGGGUCGUCAUUGCCAUCACCAUCAUCAUUGAAAAAUAACCCAGCAACUUUUCUUUACUCCUCGCUCCAUUUUAAUAAUUUGAUUCAUCGAACUCAACAUCUCGAGAAAUUAUUAAUUUCUUCGUGAGGGAAUUAUAGAGCCUGUACGCCUUGCUCCUUUUCUCAUAUCCGGUAAAUAUGGACUUCUCGCCUUUAUCAUCCAACUUCUUUCUUUUCUGUUCAGGAACAUGGGCAUAUGCAAUACACCCAAAAAUUCUGAGAUGUCCCACAGAUGGUUUGCUUCCACUCCAUGCUUCAUUUGGAGUUUUGUUUCUGACACUUUUUGUUGGACAGCGAUUCAACAAAUAAACUGCACAUAAAACAGCUUCAGCCCAAAAAGUUCUCGGAAAGUGCUUUGCUUUCACCAUGCUCCUUGCCAUGUCAAAAAUAGUGCGAUUCUUUCUUUCUGCAACACCAUUUUGUUGAGGAGUAUAGGCUGUUGUCAACUAAUGACUGAUUCAAUGUGCUCUGCAAAAAUUCUGAACAGAUUAGAAGUAUACUCGCCUCCUCUGUCUGAUCUGAGUACCUUCAAAUGAUGACCACUUUGCUUUUUUGCUAGUGCUUUGAACUCCUUGAAUUUAUCAAGAGCCUCCGACUUUUCUUUGAUGAUAUACACCCAACUUUUCAUGCUAAAAUCAUCAAUAAAUGUUAGGUAAUACCUAUUACCUCCAAGUGAUGAGAUAUCAAAUGGACCAGCAACAUCUGUGUGAACUAUCUCCAAUGGCCUCCUGGCUCUCCAUGAUUUUCCAACCGGAAAACUUUGCCGAUGUUGCUUCCCUUUUACACACGCUUCACAAAAAUUUUCUAGUUUGUUGAUUUCUGGCAAACCGACCACCAUUUUUGUCUUUGACAAUAAUUUCAAGCCAGAAAAUCCAAGAUGACCAUAUCUCAAAUGCCACAAUCAUGACAUUUUUAAUGAUUGACUUUAAGCACUUUUGCACCUUCGUUGUCAUAUCAAGCGUAAACAAACGAUUCUUUGACAUCUCCACAUUUGCAAUCAAUUCCCGAGCUUGAUUUCUGAUAAUCAGGGAAUUGUCCUGCAUAUGUAUAUUAUAUCCUUUCUCCACAAGUUGGCCAAGAGUAAUAAUAUUAUUUUUCAAAGCAGGAAUAUAAUAAACAUCAUUUAUAUAUUUCUUUUCGCCUUUCUCCGACAUGAUCGUGACGGUACCUUUUCCUUUGACCGGAAUCUUUGACGAGUCACCAAAAGUAACUUCUCCAGUGAUGGAGUCAUCUAUCUCCGUGAAUAACUCCUUGUGACCAGUCAUGUGAUUACUGGCCCCUGAGUCAAGAUACCAAACAUUCUUCUUGCUUUCCUCGUCUCCUUUGUAAGUGAGGAACAUAGCAGUGCCAACAUCUUUGUCUUCUUUUGCUGCUGCAAAAUGACUUCUUUCUUUCACCUUCGGUGUUCUACACUCAUAACUGAAAUGGCCAUAUUUAUUACAGUUAUAGCACUGAUAUUGACACUUAUCACCUCGUUGUUGAUAUCCGCCUCUUCCUCGGCCCCUGAAAUUUUGACCACGACCAGAUCACUGAUACCCUUCCGAAUUCUGGCCUCUAUUGGAGGACUGCCUUCCUCGUCCUCAUCCACCACCACGGUAGCCACCUCUAAAGCCACCUCUUCCACGUGCAGAACUACUACUGCUAGAACUGUCACCAAUGGACACCUAACUUUGCAACGCCUUUUCCAAAUGGCUUGCAUCAUCAUACUGGUUCAUUCGCUGCUCGUGGGCUUAAAGAGAACCUAUGAGCUCAUCAGUCGAAAUUGUGGACAGGUCUUUUGAUGACUCCUCGAUAGAAGUAACAACAUAAUCAAAUUUUCUUGUUAAUGAACGGAGCAAUUUUUCCAUGACCCGAACAUCAUCGAGACUUUCUCCAUUUCCAUUCAUCUCAUUUUUCACCGUUUUCAAACGCGUAACAAAUUCAUCAAUAUUUUCGGAACUCUUCAUCUUCAAAUUUUCGAACUCCCCACAUAGAACUUGGAGCCGAACCUUCUUGACUUUCUCGACACCCUGGAAUGAUUUCUGCAGAAUCUCCCACGCGUCUUUCGCCGUUUUUGCAUUUGAAAUUUUUUCAAAGGUUGAUUCAUCAACUCCUUGAAUAAUUGUAUAUAACGCCCUUUUGUCUUUUUUCUUGGGAUCUUUUAACGCUGUUUUCUCCGCAUCAGAAAAAAUGGCUUCAUCCUCGGGCUCGUCAUACCCAAUUUUGAUGAUAUUAAAAUAGUGAUUUGUGUUACAAAAAUUAGUGAUUCCUUCUAAUAAGUUAGAGAUUUGUAUCUAGUGUUUCUGAUGAUUGGAGAUAGCUCGAAUAUGUUAAUAAUCUAAUUGUAAUGUGAGAUGAAUGGAAAGUGACGAUGUAUAGGAUGUCAUCGCACCUUGAAGAUGAAGAAGAUGAACUAUUUAUUUGUUUUGUGUGUAUAGGAUGUGUAUAUUAGGGUGUAAUUAGAAAAGGUGGGCGGCUGUUCAAAAAUUAGUGGGCUGGGUUGUAAUUUGUUUGGGUUGGGCUGCAGUUUGUAGUUUGUAGAAUAAGAUGGUUUGUAGUGCUACAAGACUAUAUAUAUAUAUAUAUAUAUAUAUAUAUAUAUAUAUAUAUAUAUAUAUAUAUAUAUAUANAUAUAUAUAUAUGGGUGGAUUGAUGGAUUGCACAAGUACAAACCAAUAUUAAAGUUAAAAUUACAUAUAUAAUAAUCCCUAGAAGUCACCAUCAUGUCUUAAGAAAUCACACAUAAUCCCCCUGUUUCAAAUUUGAUCUUUCCCUCAAUCAGUGAUUUUUUAUUUUUGAAAUAUGACUCUAUUCUAUUUUUUUCUUCUCCCAACCUUUAAUGUGCAUACCAUAUGUGCUAUAUUUGGAUAUGAUUUAGAAUUUUUUUUAUUUAACUUUUAGUUUUUUAUUUUAUGAAGGUUUAUUAUAGUUAAGUAUUACAAACACACACACACACAUACACUUUAAUUUAAUUAGUAAAAGACUUUUUUUAUGUAAUGAACAUUAUGUAUUAGUAAUUAUUGAGAAACUUGUUAUUAUAUUUUAUAAGAACUUAAUUUUUAAAAUUAAAUUUUUCGUAAAUUGAAUAUAUUAUAAUUUAAAUGAUAAACUUUCUACAAUAUAAUUUAUUUGUAUCUCAAAAAUAGAAACAUAAUAUUUGUAACCACAAAUAACUUAACCUAUAAGGUCAUCUUUAAUUUUUAAAAAAUUAAUUAUUCAUAAUGAACAACUAUUUUUAUUUUUCUCUAUUUAAUCAAAAUUAAUCUAGAAGUGUUUGUGUACUUUGACACUCAUAUAAAAUAGGGGGUUUAUAAAGCAAAAAAAUUGCUAGUUGUUUGCAUCAACACUUAAUUAAUCUAAUUGGACAUUAUUAAAGGUUUUAUUCUAAAAAGAUAUAACUAAGUACAAACUUUUUUGCCACUAGGCCCAACCCAUCAUGCGAGGAACUUAUAAUUACCUAGAACACAUUAGUAUCCGGUUUGAGCAUAGUAAAACCCUAAUCUAAGUAGCAGCCCGCCUCUCCACAUCCCCCCCCUAAUCUAAGUAGCAGCCCGCCUCUCCACAUCCCUUCCCAUCAUCUUGGUUCCAUCUCACCCUAUUCUAGGUAUCACUGAGUCCUCUCCAGAUCUCUUUGUUGAGCCCUCUCUGGUGCUGAGCCCUCUUUGGAUCUCUUCUGAUCUCAUGGAUUACUCCAGAUCUCUUUGGUAAGCCCUCUGUGGAUGUGGAUCUCUUCUGAUCUCAUGGGUGGCACGCUUGGUAAACAUGUCUGUUAGUGGUUUUUCAUUUCGGUAGCUAGAUUUGACCUUUGGUGCAUCUUUUGCUUAAUGAUUGUAUAUUUAGGCUAUACAUAUAUGAUGAAUUUUUGUGAUCUCUAUUCCUCAUAUAUUUCAUAUAAGACCUUCAAUUUAUUGAAUUUUGAUUUUAAUGUAUUGUAUUCAUAAAUUGAUGAAUUUAUUAUGAAAUAUUUGUUUGAUUCUCAUUUAAAUGAAAAAAAUCAGUAAAAGAAUAUGAAUAAUGAUUCUUUGCAUCAUUAUACACUAUCCAAAACUGCAAUAGUUGUGAAAACUUUUUAUUUUUAUGUCCACUAUGCAAGCAAAAUAGAUCACAUAAGUGAAUAAGUAGUCUAUGAAUGUGUUAUAUAUAUAGUGUAUUUAAUAAUUUUUCACUUAUUUUUAUUGUGUUGAAUCUUUGUGCUAUUACAUUUGAAUAUUGCACCUUCAACAUUUUAAUAUACACGUGGCUAAUUAUUUUUUUGCAGCAACUCUCCUCAUAUAGGUGAUGAUAAACAAUGAAGAAAAUGCUCCAGUAUUCUCUAAAUUAAUUAUAUUCUCCAGGUAGUAUAACAUAAACUUUUAGUUAUAACAUUACAACAGUAAUAUAUUUUUCGUACCUUAAUUAAUAGUAUUCAUACUUUGUUGUGUAGAUUUAUUAAGAUAUUAUAGUUAGGUACACCGUAUAUGUGGCUCGGAGAAGUUAACUAAACAGUAAAUAUAUAGGAUUAAGAUAACACAACUACUCAACUUUGAAGAUAUAAAAGUUUAGUAAGGUUAUAAUUAAAUCUGAAUGAAACUAUCUAAUUAAGCAAUGACAGGACUUGGAGAUGAUUAGAAAAUAUUUUACAUAGGUAAUUCAAAAGGUAAUCUAAGUUCGAACAUAAAUUAAAAUCUGAGCACUUGCAACAAAGCUAGACAGCUUAAACAGGUAUUGUUGUCUUGUUUAUGAAGGUGUUACGGAAUGAGACUAUCCUGAUAGAUCAGGAUUUGAAGCCUGAAUCCUGAAAAAUUUUAUCAAAAGAAAAUGCUCCUAGUUGCAUUUUAAGAUUCGAGCUCACUUACGGAGAAUCUUCUCUUAAACAUUCACUUCUUUCCUGAACUAGGUUUUGAGGUUUAAACCAUGCAGUUAAGACAUAAUAUAAGAGGUGCGAAUGAAGUUUCUUCAUGCCACCUGUUCAGUGAUCUUCUUUAGUGGAAAAAUAUUGUUCUUAGUAUGUCAUAUAAUUAAAAAGGAAUUUUUACGGCAGUGACUUACUUUUUAUUAGAAAUUGUUCUUUAGUUUUGUCUUCUAGGUACAUUUAAGUUUUAACCCCAGGUUGAACUUGGUAGUAACGUGUUAUAAUGUACUACCCUUUGGUAGAAGAUGAUGUCUUUAUUUCUUAUCGUAUAGAUAGUUUUGCUUUCUGUUUAACUCUGGACCGUAUGUAGAAUUUACUUUUGGGGUCAUGUCUAGUUUAUGUGUACUCGUAGGAUACAUUUUUUGGGUAGAUUGCAAAACCCUGAAGGACGAACAAUUUAUAAGCAUCACUGUUAUAGUAGCAACUGAAGGAUACAAUUAAUAUUGUUAGAAGGAAAAUGGGAAGACCAAAUUAAGAAGUACAAGAAACAGAUUGGUUCGGUGAAAGAUAUUUUACCAGCACACACACAUAUAGAAUUAAAGAUAUUUUAGACGAAAUAUUUUUCUGUACGUAGGUAAGAGAAGCACAAGAGGUAAUGUGGAUAUGAAAGUGAAAUCCAGUGCAGAGAACAACUUUGUAACAACUGUUGCUGAAAUACCCAAAAAAGGUGAUUUUCAGCCUACUAUACCUAGCAAGGAACCUGGGAGACAUGUGUAUAAGAGAAGUAAAGUUCAUCAGCAGAAUGGUGUGCAAGUCAAAACUCAUGACAGUGAAUGACACUAUCAAGGUAUGUGCUGGAACUUAUUUCAUAUUAGAUAUGUCAAGUAAUUAUUUAGCUGAAGACCAUUCUUUGCAUGUGAUUUUUUAUGCGCUUUUUAAUUGCUGGAAGAUGUUGAGGAAAAAUAUAUCUGUAACUACUAUAAUAGUCUAUUUGCUCCAGUUUAUUUUGUGGCAGUUAGAUUAACCAUUAUCAAUAAUUCAUUUCAUGAUUUUCAGCUUUUCUAUUUGUAUUUUACGGCUAUGAAAAUUCUACUACUGCUAUUGUAUUGGUAACAGAAAGUUUUGUUAUUUUUUGAAGUAGUUCUGUCUGUAAACAGACAAGAUGAUUCCGAAACUCCUCCAUUUAAUCAAGAGAAUGCAAUGGAGUCCGCUCCACUUCAGAAAAAGGAUGGUCCGGGUAAGCUCAUUGACUGAACUAUAAUUGUGAUAUUAUGAUCUGGAAUCUUGUUAUGUUAUCCAUGAAAUUUACCUGUUAAAAAUCUCAAUCAACAUGCUGCAUCAAUUGAUAUAGGUGGUGGAGUUGGAACCCCUGCCAUUGUAGGCAUUGAUGCUAUGGAGAACGAACAGAGUUUGCCAUUUGUUAAGAAUCCUCUACUUUGUGAAGAUAUCCAUUCUAUGGAAACCUAUAAGAAAAUGACACAGAAGCCACACUUCGCUCCACUGUACGAACAUAUAGAAGAAGAACGUGAAGGCUUGGCAGUAGUGUUGGAAACGUGAUGGGU
This 17841-nucleotide long non-coding RNA is filed under the name Daucus carota (carrot). RNAcentral describes it as "long non-coding RNA (DCAR_LNC003340)". The record is from RNAcentral. Lineage: Eukaryota; Viridiplantae; Streptophyta; Magnoliopsida; Apiales; Apiaceae.